Molecule: ribosomal RNA, 250 nt
Filed under: uncultured bacterium
Lineage: Bacteria
Description: partial 16S ribosomal RNA
Rfam family: Bacterial small subunit ribosomal RNA
Source: RNAcentral
AUACGUAGGUGGCAAGCGUUGUCCGGAUUUACUGGGUGUAAAGGGCGAGUAGGCGGGACUGCAAGUCAGGUGUGAAAUGCGGAGGCUCAACCUCCGACUUGCAUUUGAAACUGUGGUUCUUGAGUGAUGGAGAGGCAGGCGGAAUUCCCGGUGUAGCGGUGGAAUGCGUAGAUAUCGGGAGGAACACCAGUGGCGAAGGCGGCCUGCUGGACAUUAACUGACGCUGAGGAGACGAAAGCGGUGGGGAGAC